This 492-nucleotide ribosomal RNA is filed under the name uncultured bacterium. RNAcentral describes it as "partial 16S ribosomal RNA". It matches the Rfam family "Bacterial small subunit ribosomal RNA", at positions 29 to 507 of the family's 1533-position model. The record is from RNAcentral.
AGUGAACGCUGGCGGUAGGCCUAACACAUGCAAGUCGAACGGCAGCACAGUAAGAGCUUGCUCUUACGGGUGGCGAGUGGCGGACGGGUGAGGAAUACAUCGGAAUCUACUUUUUCGUGGGGGAUAACGUAGGGAAACUUACGCUAAUACCGCAUACGACCUACGGGUGAAAGCAGGGGAUCUUCGGACCUUGCGCGAUUGAAUGAGCCGAUGUCGGAUUGGCUAGUUGGCGGGGUAAAGGCCCACCAAGGCGACGAUCCGUAGCUGGUCUGAGAGGAUGAUCGGCCACACUGGAACUGGGACACGGUCCAGACUCCUACGGGAGGCAGCAGUGGGGAAUAUUGGACAAUGGUCGCAAGCCUGAUCCAGCCAUACCGCGUGGGUGAAGAAGGCGUUCGGGUUGUAAAGCCCUUUUGUUGGGAAAGAAAAGCAGCAGGUUAAUACCCCGCUGUUCUGACGGUACCCAAAGAAUAAGCACCGGCUAACUUCGUG